This is a non-coding RNA of Pteropus alecto (black flying fox), 136 nucleotides long. NCBI's taxonomy places the organism in Eukaryota, Metazoa, Chordata, Mammalia, Chiroptera, Pteropodidae. The record is from Rfam.
UCAUCAGAUAGGAUAAUCCUUACCUGUUCCUCCUGUGGAGGCCAGAUUAGAACAUGAUUGAAUUUGCAUGAUUCGUGAUUAUCAUUUCUGCGUAAUCAGGGUUCACAACAAAAAAAGGAAUAUACUAAAAUAAGAC